AGCUCCAAUAUUGUAUAUUAAAGUUGUUGCAGUAAAAAAGAUUGGAGUUGGAUUCGUGGUAUGUCCAUUCGGCCUUUGCUCGUUGAGUGAUAUUGCUGUUACUGGUCUACCAUGUUUUGGUGAAAUCUGUGUGGCAUUAAGUUGUCGUGCAGGGGAUGCCCAUCGUUUACUAUGAAAAAAAGAGUGUUCAAAAAAGGCUUAUGCCUCUGAAUAUAUUAGCAUGGAAUAAUGAUAUAGGGCCGUGGUACUAUUUGUUGAUUUGCGCACUGAGGUAAUGAUUAAGAGGGACAGUUGGGGGUAUUUGUAUUCCAUUGUCAAAGGUGAAAUUCGUGGAUUUUUGGAAGACAAACUACUGAGAAAGCAUUUAUCAAGGUUGUUUUCA
This 382-nucleotide ribosomal RNA is filed under the name uncultured eukaryote. RNAcentral describes it as "partial small subunit ribosomal RNA". It matches the Rfam family "Eukaryotic small subunit ribosomal RNA", at positions 587 to 972 of the family's 1831-position model. The record is from RNAcentral.